RNAcentral lists this ribosomal RNA (451 nucleotides) under uncultured bacterium. Its description in RNAcentral is "bacterial SSU rRNA". It matches the Rfam family "Bacterial small subunit ribosomal RNA", at positions 335 to 783 of the family's 1533-position model. The record is from RNAcentral.
ACUCCUACGGGAGGCAGCAGUGGGGAAUAUUGCACAAUGGGCGCAAGCCUGAUGCAGCCAUGCCGCGUGUAUGAAGAAGGCCUUCGGGUUGUAAAGUACUUUCAGCAGUGAGGAAGGUGGGUAUGUUAAUAGCAUAUUCAUUUGUACGUUAGCUGCAGAAGAAGCACCGGCUAACUCCGUGCCAGCAGCCGCGGUAAUACGGAGGGUGCGAGCGUUAAUCGGAAUUACUGGGCGUAAAGCGCAUGCAGGUGGUUUGUUAAGUCAGAUGUGAAAGCCCGGGGCUCAACCUCGGAAUUGCAUUUGAAACUGGCAAACUAGAGUACUGUAGAGGGGGUAGAAUUUCAGGUGUAGCGUGAAAUGCGUAGAGAUCUGAAGGAUACCGGUGGCGAAGCGGCCCCUGGACAGAUACUGACACUCAGAUGCGAAAGCGUGGGAGCAAACAGGAUUAGAU